GAUGAACGCUGGCGGCGUGCCUAAUACAUGCAAGUCGAGCGAACAGAUGAGAAGCUUGCUUCUCUGAUGUUAGCGGCGGACGGGUGAGUAACACGUGGGUAACCUACCUAUAAGACUGGGAUAACUCCGGGAAACCGGGGCUAAUACCCGAUAAUAUUUUGAACCGCAUGGUUCAAUAGUGAAAGACGGUUUCGGCUGUCACUUAUAGAUGGACCCGCGCCGUAUUAGCUAGUUGGUAAGGUAACGGCUUACCAAGGCGACGAUACGUAGCCGACCUGAGAGGGUGAUCGGCCACACUGGAACUGAGACACGGUCCAGACUCCUACGGGAGGCAGCAGUAGGGAAUCUUCCGCAAUGGGCGAAAGCCUGACGGAGCAACGCCGCGUGAGUGAUGAAGGUCUUCGGAUCGUAAAACUCUGUUGUUAGGGAAGAACAAAUUUGUUAGUGACUGAACAAGUCUUGACGGUACCUAACCAGAAAGCCACGGCUAACUACGUGCCAGCAGCCGCCGUAA
Molecule: ribosomal RNA, 514 nt
Filed under: uncultured bacterium
Lineage: Bacteria
Description: partial 16S ribosomal RNA
Rfam family: Bacterial small subunit ribosomal RNA
Source: RNAcentral